CCUACGGUGUGCAGCAGUGGGGAAUAUUGGGCAAUGGGCGCAAGCCUGACCCAGCAACGCCGCGUGAAGGAAGAAGGCUUUCGGGUUGUAAACUUCUUUUAAGAGGGAAGAGCAGAAGACGGUACCUCUUGAAUAAGCCACGGCUAACUACGUGCCAGCAGCCGCGGUAAUACGUAGGUGGCAAGCGUUGUCCGGAUUUACUGGGUGUAAAGGGCGUGUAGCCGGGCAGACAAGUCAGAUGUGAAAUCCGGGGGCUCAACCCCCGAACUGCAUUUGAAACUGUUGGGCUUGAGUAUCGGAGAGGCAGGCGGAAUUCCGGGUGUAGCGGUGAAAUGCGUAGAGAUUAGGAGGAACACCAGGGGCGAAGGCGGCCUGCUGGACGACAACUGACGGUGAGGCGCGAAAGCGUGGGGAGCAAACAGGAUUAGAUACCCUUGUAGUC
Molecule: ribosomal RNA, 442 nt
Filed under: uncultured bacterium
Lineage: Bacteria
Description: partial 16S ribosomal RNA
Rfam family: Bacterial small subunit ribosomal RNA
Source: RNAcentral